Molecule: ribosomal RNA, 651 nt
Filed under: uncultured bacterium
Lineage: Bacteria
Description: bacterial SSU rRNA
Rfam family: Bacterial small subunit ribosomal RNA (bases 1-542)
Source: RNAcentral
CCUACGGGAGGCAGCAGUAAGGAAUAUUGGUCAAUGGAGGCAACUCUGAACCAGCCAUGCCGCGUGCAGGAAGACUGCCCUAUGGGUUGUAAACUGCUUUUAUCCGGGAAUAAACCUGCUUACGUGUAAGUAGCUGAAUGUACCGGAAGAAUAAGGAUCGGCUAACUCCGUGCCAGCAGCCGCGGUAAUACGGAGGAUCCAAGCGUUAUCCGGAUUUAUUGGGUUUAAAGGGUGCGUAGGCGGCCUGUUAAGUCAGGGGUGAAAGACGGUAGCUCAACUAUCGCAGUGCCCUUGAUACUGAUGGGCUUGAAUGGACUAGAGGUAGGCGGAAUGAGACAAGUAGCGGUGAAAUGCAUAGAUAUGUCUCAGAACACCGAUUGCGAAGGCAGCUUACUAUGGUCUUAUUGACGCUGAGGCACGAAAGCGUGGGGAUCAAACAGGAUUAGAUACCCUGGUAGUCCACGCCCUAAACGAUGAACACUCGCUGUUGGCGAUACACAGUCAGCGGCGUAGACGAAAGACGUUAAGUUAGUUCCGUAACCGUCGGGGUAGGUUACGGCCCGGUCCGAAGGGUUAGGUAAACGUUAAAGUUAGUUAGUUAGACGGGCGUUGAGGACGUUGCCGACGGACGACCGACGAGGGGAGGUUAGG